AUUAGUGAAUAUAGGACGUCCAACUUAACUUGGAGUCCGAACUCUCACUUUCUAACCCUGUGCAUUUGUUUGGGAUAGUAACUCUCGCAAGAGGGCGAACUCCUAUUCACUUAUAAACACAAAGUCUAUGAAUGUAUUAAAUUUUAUAACAAAAUAAAACUUUCAACAACGGAUCUCUUGGCUCUCGCAUCGAUGAAGAACGCAGCGAAAUGCGAUAAGUAAUGUGAAUUGCAGAAUUCAGUGAAUCAUCGAAUCUUUGAACGCACCUUGCGCUCCAUGGUAUUCCGUGGAGCAUGCCUGUUUGAGUGUCAUGAAUACUUCAACCCUCCUCUUUCUUAAUGAUUGAAGAGGUGUUUGGUUUCUGAGCGCUGCUGGCCUUUACGGUCUAGCUCGUUCGUAAUGCAUUAGCAUCCGCAAUCGAACUUCGGAUUGACUUGGCGUAAUAGACUAUUCGCUGAGGAAUUCUAAUCUUCGGAUUAGAGCCGGGUUGGGUUAAAGGAAGCUUCUAAUCAGAAUGUCUACAUUUUAAGAUUAGAUCUCAAAUCAGGUAGGACUACCCGCUGAACUUAAGCAUAUCAANNAGCGGAGGAA
RNAcentral lists this ribosomal RNA (591 nucleotides) under Rhodotorula mucilaginosa. RNAcentral's name for it is "eukaryotic LSU rRNA". The stretch from base 158 to 311 matches the Rfam family "5.8S ribosomal RNA". The record is from RNAcentral. Lineage: Eukaryota; Fungi; Basidiomycota; Microbotryomycetes; Sporidiobolales; Sporidiobolaceae.